Molecule: ribosomal RNA, 1163 nt
Filed under: Acinetobacter baumannii
Lineage: Bacteria; Pseudomonadati; Pseudomonadota; Gammaproteobacteria; Moraxellales; Moraxellaceae
Description: partial 23S ribosomal RNA
Rfam family: Bacterial large subunit ribosomal RNA
Source: RNAcentral
GUUGUAUAGUCAAGUAAUUAAGUGCAUGUGGUGGAUGCCUUGGCAGUCAGAGGCGAUGAAAGACGUGAUAGCCUGCGAAAAGCUCCGGGGAGGCGGCAAAUAUCCUUUGAUCCGGAGAUGUCUGAAUGGGGGAACCCACCUACUUUAAGGUAGGUAUUGCAACAUGAAUACAUAGUGUUGCAAGGCGAACGAGGGGAAGUGAAACAUCUCAGUACCCUUAGGAAAAGAAAUCAAUUGAGAUUCCCUCAGUAGCGGCGAGCGAACGGGGAUCAGCCCCUUAAGUUAUGUGUGUUUUAGUGGAACGCUCUGGGAAGUGCGAACGUAGAGGGUGAUAUUCCCGUACACGAAAGGGCACACAUAAUGAUGACGAGUAGGGCGAGGCACGUGAAACCUUGUCUGAAUAUGGGGGGACCAUCCUCCAAGGCUAAAUACUCCUGACUGACCGAUAGUGAACCAGUACCGUGAGGGAAAGGCGAAAAGAACCCCUGUGAGGGGAGUGAAAUAGAUCCUGAAACCGCAUGCAUACAAGCAGUGGGAGCACCUUCGUGGUGUGACUGCGUACCUUUUGUAUAAUGGGUCAGCGACUUAUAUUCAGUAGCGAGGUUAACCGUAUAGGGGAGCCGUAGAGAAAUCGAGUCUUAAUAGGGCGUUUAGUUGCUGGGUAUAGACCCGAAACCAGGCGAUCUAUCCAUGAGCAGGUUGAAGGUUGGGUAACACUAACUGGAGGACCGAACCCACUGUCGUUGAAAAGCCAGGGGAUGACUUGUGGAUAGGGGUGAAAGGCUAAUCAAGCCUGGUGAUAGCUGGUUCUCCCCGAAAGCUAUUUAGGUAGCGCCUCGGACGAAUACCAUAGGGGGUAGAGCACUGUUUCGGCUAGGGGGUCAUCCCGACUUACCAAACCGAUGCAAACUCCGAAUACCUAUGAGUACUAUCCGGGAGACAGACUGCGGGUGCUAACGUCCGUAGUCAAGAGGAAAACAAUCCAGACCGCCAGCUAAGGCCCCAAAAUCAUAGUUAAGUGGGAAACGAUGUGGGAAGGCAUAGACAGCUAGGAGGUUGGCUUAGAAGCAGCCACCCUUUAAAGAAAGCGUAAUAGCUCACUAGUCGAGUCGGCCUGCGCGGAAGAUGUAACGGGGCUAAAACUAUGUGCCGAAGCUGCGGAU